GGAGAAGUACUCAAGAGGUCGAAGAGGCGCCCCUGCUAAGGGUGUAGGAGGUGAAUAGUCUCGCCCGGGUUCGAAUCCCGGCUUCUCCGCCA
This 92-nucleotide transfer RNA is filed under the name Clostridiales bacterium. RNAcentral's name for it is "tRNA-Ser". It matches the Rfam family "tRNA". From Rfam's summary of the family: Transfer RNA (tRNA) molecules are approximately 80 nucleotides in length. Their secondary structure includes four short double-helical elements and three loops (D, anti-codon, and T loops). Lineage: Bacteria; Bacillati; Bacillota; Clostridia; Eubacteriales. The record is from RNAcentral.